Long non-coding RNA from Amphimedon queenslandica, 307 nucleotides. RefSeq lists it as uncharacterized. The transcript is spliced from 4 exons. NCBI's taxonomy places the organism in Eukaryota, Metazoa, Porifera, Demospongiae, Haplosclerida, Niphatidae. The record is from RefSeq and is a predicted model, not a curated record.
UAUGCUCUCUCUCUCUAAUCACUACAGACAAAAUCUUCAGGUGGAGUUAAGAGAUCCUCAUCUGAAAAAACUCCUAAGAAGAAGGAUUCCCCUAGUUUAAUAAGAAGGAAGCCAAUGAUAACAGAGAGUGAUAGUGAUGAUGACUUUGUACCACUACCUACCAAGAAACCUCCUGUUACUGUGAAGCCCGAGCCACCUGCCACUCCUGUUAAGAAUGAUGUUCCUCCCAGACUACCUGUUGAUGUCAAAAUAGAGUUUGACGUGGCCACGCCUCCUAAACCUCCAGCAGUGGAUAGAGAAGUGAAAG